CUACGUGCCAGCAGCCGCGGUAAUACGUAGGUCCCGAGCGUUGUCCGGAUUUAUUGGGCGUAAAGCGAGCGCAGGCGGUUAGAUAAGUCUGAAGUUAAAGGCUGUGGCUUAACCAUAGUACGCUUUGGAAACUGUUUAACUUGAGUGCAAGAGGGGAGAGUGGAAUUCCAUGUGUAGCGGUGAAAUGCGUAGAUAUAUGGAGGAACACCGGUGGCGAAAGCGGCUCUCUGGCUUGUAACUGACGCUGAGGCUCGAAAGCGUGGGGAGCAAACAGGAUUAGAUUCCCUGGUAGUCCACGCCGUAAACGAUGAGUGCUAGGUGUUAGACCCUUUCCGGGGUUUAGUGCCGUAGCUAACGCAUUAAGCACUCCGCCUGGGGAGUACGACCGCAAGGUUGAAACUCAAAGGAAUUGACGGGGGCCCGCACAAGCGGUGGAGCAUGUGGUUUAAUUCGAAGCAACGCGAAGAACCUUACCAGGUCUUGACAUCCCUCUGACCGCUCUAGAGAUAGAGUUUUC
RNAcentral lists this ribosomal RNA (517 nucleotides) under uncultured bacterium. RNAcentral's name for it is "bacterial SSU rRNA". It matches the Rfam family "Bacterial small subunit ribosomal RNA", at positions 501 to 1016 of the family's 1533-position model. The record is from RNAcentral.